RNAcentral lists this ribosomal RNA (441 nucleotides) under Triticum aestivum (bread wheat). Its description in RNAcentral is "partial small subunit ribosomal RNA". The record is from RNAcentral. Lineage: Eukaryota; Viridiplantae; Streptophyta; Magnoliopsida; Poales; Poaceae.
AUGUACUUAGCCAGUGCUACAAGACCUGACAUCUCUUUUGCUGUUAGCAAGCUAAGUCGGUUUGUCUCAAAACCAGGGGAUGUGCAUUGGAAAGCUCUAGAAAGAGUUUUGCGUUAUUUGAAAGGCACUGCUAAUUAUGGAAUUCACUACACUGGGCACCCAAAGGUGCUUGAAGGGUAUAGUGACUCAAACUGGAUCUCAGAUGCUGAUGAGAUAAAGGCCACGAUGAUCACGAAAGUGAGCAGCUCAAAGGAUAACAUGAAGUCAUCAAGACACGUUCAAAGAAGGUUAAAAUCUGUCAGAAAAAUGAGAAACUCCGGAGUUAUUGCAUUGGAUUAUAUCCAAACGUCUAAAAAUCUGGCAGAUCCUUUUACUAAGGGUCUAUCACGUAAUGUGAUAGAUAAUGCAUCGAGGGAGAUGGGUAUGAGACCCACAAUAUGA